RNAcentral lists this ribosomal RNA (275 nucleotides) under uncultured bacterium. RNAcentral's name for it is "partial 16S ribosomal RNA". It matches the Rfam family "Bacterial small subunit ribosomal RNA", at positions 399 to 691 of the family's 1533-position model. The record is from RNAcentral.
GCGUGAGUGACGAAGGUCUUCGGAUUGUAAAGCUCUUUUGGCGGGGAAGAUAAUGACGGUACCCGCAGAAUAAGCCCCGGCUAACUUCGUGCCAGCAGCCGCGGUAAUACGAAGGGGGCUAGCGUUGUUCGGAAUCACUGGGCGUAAAGCGCACGUAGGCGGAUGUGCCAGUCAGGGGUGAAAUCCCGGAGCUCAACUUCGGAACUGCCUCUGAUACAGCACGUCUUGAGUCCGGAAGAGGUGGGUGGAAUUCCUAGUGUAGAGGUGAAAUUCGU